Molecule: long non-coding RNA, 2462 nt
Organism: Lontra canadensis (Northern American river otter)
Lineage: Eukaryota; Metazoa; Chordata; Mammalia; Carnivora; Mustelidae
Exons: 3
Source: RefSeq, a predicted model, not a curated record
GGGCAAGAUACCUCUGUCUUCCCGGUCAGUGAAGCUGGAAAUUUCAGACCCCUCCAGCUGCAUACCAAAACUGAGAACUGGUUGCAUGUACCUCCCAUCCCCAGCUGGACUCCUCUAGCUAGACUGUAAGCUCUUUGAGAGUGGGGACAGUUUCCAAAUCAUCUAUUCCUUGUUUGUUGGAUGAAGGAAACAAUGAGGACUUACUGUGAGGAAACAUCUAGCUUCAGCACCAGUAGUUGUCGGGAGUCUCAAGAAUGGUCCUUGACCUCUUUGCAAAAUUUAGUUCCAACAGAUUUAAUAAAAGAGCAGGACUUGGAAGAAGCAUUCAGAGGUAUGGUCAGGAUGAGAAUGUAAGCACUUCAGAUGGGGCCAAGAAAGGCAAACAGAAAAAUCUUGAAAGCUAUUCAUUUUUUUCUCCUUUAUUAGUUUUAAUCCAGUUCUAGAUUGGAAUACAAAGUAUGCAUCAAGUAAUUAGAGGGCAGCCUAAUACCUCAUUGAGCAGCACUUCAUGAGUUGUUAAAUAGCCGGUGAAAAAGUUUGGAAAGGGGCUCCUUUCAAAGUAUGUAAAGGCUCUGAGAAGUCCUGCAGUAAAAACUGGUUUAACUGUGUUUAACCCAGCCUUUCCCAACAUUUACUUGAUUAUAAAAUCCUUUUGUAUGGAGCACCUAUUAACAUGCAGCAGAGACACAUCAUUUGGAUUAAAAUAGGAUAAAAAUAGUCUGAUUCGAGGGCAGAUGUUUCACUUAGUAAAGAUUAUUCUGAAGUAGUAGAGAGUUAAUGAACAUCUUAAGCAACCUGAAAAGCAGUGUCAGAAGAUUUUUAAAAUGCUGUCAAGAACUCAUAAAAUAUACAUUAUAUUGUGUAACAAUAUUGUAAAAUGCUGUAUGAUACAUUAAAAUCAUCAGAUUAUACCCUAUUACCCUACAAUCUUCUAAUCACAUAUUUAUACACUUUACAUUAUAUCUGCAAAAUGACUCCUGUUAUAAAUAUUAUGUGUGAAUUAUAGAAGUAUGCUAUAACCCUAACUCUAAAGGAUUCCAUGAAAUAAGGAAGCAACAGCUUCCGAUAAUGAGAGUAGCAGGGCAAAAGAAUGGUUAAAAAUUAUAGCAUCAGAGAAUUCUGGAACUGAAAGGAACCUCAGGAUCAUUUUAGUCCAAUCCCCUCAUUUUAGAUAAAAGGAAGCUGUCAAUCAUUUAUGAGGUCUCCAAGUAAAAGAACAGGUGGCAAGAGUGUUGAAAUGUUGGGGAACAUCUGGGAUAGCAUUUUCCUUUAUGUAAGAGGUAGUCAGAAAGGGUCAAGUGCCCUAGGAAGAUGAGGUUAGAAUUUUGUGAGAAAGAAGUCUGAAUAAGAGAUGAUUGACAUCCUCAUCUAUGUCAGUGAGAAGUGUGAGCAAUUGUACAAGCAAGGAAAAUGAUAAGCAUGAGACAGUCACCUAACGAGACCAAGGGAUUAUGGGAAGGGGAGGGUACUGUAGCCAAGAAGCUUCCAGACAGUGACGUACACUUAACUGAUGGCUCACAAUAACUACUUACCUAAAGUAAGUAGUCCCCUAUCUUCUCUGAAACAGCCCUGCUCAUCUAGAACCCUGCUCGGAUCCAAUUCAGCCACAGUAAUGCUCUGCAGAGUAUAUGAGUCUCCGCACUGAAGAUGAUUGAAUCAGAAGUGAACAAUGGCCCAACUUCAACCUCCUCUCCUCUUUGGGAAAUACCUAAGCUGCGGUUGUGUCUAGAACUGCGAUCCCUUGCCAGCUGUCUUCUUCCUCUUCCGCUCAAGAGGAAGCUGCCUUUUUCCAGGUUAAGUGGAGGAUAUGUUCUCAAGGGAAAUGCUUUGCUGUCAGCCCAUAGAGUCAGGCUUCUGACAGAUUAUGUGGCCAAUUUGUCACUCACUGCCAAGAUCUUAAAAGUCUCUAUCGCAGAGUGUGCUUUGCACAUCUGUUGUAUUAUAAGCACAGUGUUAGCUCUCUCUGAAGCUGUCAAGAUAGGAGGAUGUUGCUAUGUUCUCUGAAACAGCCCCUCUGGGUGAUUUUUAAAUGGCAGAGUGUUGGGAUUCUGAAAUGAGGUGAGAUCCCAGAAGAACUAACAAAAACAUUGAAUGAAUAAGUCUGUCCUCCAACAUUAGCUGAGUGCUCAGUGUGCCCAGCAUUCUAGCAAUCAUAGUUCAUGUCUAUUAUAUCAUAAAUAUUAUGUCCAAGUCCCUUUAAAAUUGCUUUAACGUCUUAAACUAAUAACAGAAAGUAAAUUGGUAAAAAUGGUGGUAUGUUUCUGAUGAGACUUCUAGGCAUGUUUGUAAAAUGAGUUUAGGUGCCUGAAGGAAUAAAUAUUUAAAGUAUAAACAAUAAAGCCUUGAUACAUUUCUUUACUGAUACUUAGAACUGGGGGCGGGGGAUCAAACAGGGUUAGGGUAAAAGGGAGUGUGGAGGACCAUGAGAUGUACCCAGGGAUCCUCUUUCUAUGACUGUUACC